GUCUUCUUGUUAUAUUUAGGAAGUCUGGCCUGCCCAGUGAAAAUAUUUUAACGGCCGCGGUAUACUGACCGUGCAAAGGUAGCAUAAUCAUUAGUCUUUUAAUAGAGGGCUGGUAUGAAGGGUUUAACGAGGUGUUGACUGUCUCAUUUAAUUUGAAUUUAGAAUUUAAUUUUUUAGUUAAAAAGCUAAAAUAUUAUUGGAAGACGAGAAGACCCUAUAGAGCUUUAUAUUUUUAUUAUUAAUUUAUUAUAGUUUAUUAUCAUUUAUUAUUAAUAGAAAAUAUUUUGUUGGGGUGACAAAAAUAUAUAAAUAACUUUUUUAUUUUAACUACAUUGAUAUAUGAAUAUCAGAUCCAAUCUUAUUGAUUGUUAGAUUAAGUUACCUUAGGGAUAACAGCGUAAUCCCUCUCCAGAGUUCAUAUUUACAGAGGGGCUUGCGA
This 439-nucleotide ribosomal RNA is filed under the name Anisoptera sp. MD-2011. RNAcentral describes it as "partial 16S ribosomal RNA". It matches the Rfam family "Archaeal large subunit ribosomal RNA", at positions 1911 to 2592 of the family's 2987-position model. The record is from RNAcentral. Lineage: Eukaryota; Metazoa; Arthropoda; Insecta; Odonata.